This 580-nucleotide long non-coding RNA is filed under the name Marmota monax (woodchuck). Lineage: Eukaryota; Metazoa; Chordata; Mammalia; Rodentia; Sciuridae. The record is from RNAcentral.
AUUCUAUCAAUUUUAUUGAUCUUUUCAAAGAAUGAGCUGUUUUAUUUAUCAUUUCUGCAAUUGUUUUAUAGUCAUUAUUUUAAAUUAAAAUAUCACUAAUUUCUUCUACUCUCUCUGGGUUUGUUCUCUUGUACUUUUAUAACUCUUCAAGAAGAUUGUUUAUUCCCUUUGUUUAUGGUCUAAUUGAAAAAUAAUGAUCAUUAAGAUUGUAUAUUUUUGAUUGAGUACAGCUUUAGCCAUGUCUUAUGGGUCUUGACAUAAAGUAUUAUCCUUUUCCUUUGUUUUCCACAUAGCUUGAACUUUUAUUUUUAAUUUCCUCUUUGACCAAGGGCUAUUGAGAACCAUGCUAUAUCAUCAGGCAGUUACCUUUUAUGAUCAUCUUUGAUUACUAUUUCUAAUUUUAUUUUGUUAAGAUAAAAGUAUAUGCCUAUACUUUCACUCCUUUUUAGAAUAUAUUAAUGUACUUUUAUGUUGUGAAGGUCAUGAUCAAUUUUUUAAAGUUUCAUAAAUAAGAAAAUGUUCAAUUAUCUCCUUAAAUAAAGCAAAUAUCUAUCUUUUGAGUUAAAAUUUUUAAUUAUUU